UACGGAGGUUCCUAGCGUUGUUCGGAAUUACUGGGCGUAAAGAGCUCGUAGGCGGUCUGUCGCGUCGAUCGUGAAAACUUGGGGCUUAACCCUGAGCUUGCGGUCGAUACGGGCAUGACUGGAGUUCGGCAGGGGAGACUGGAAUUCCUGGUGUAGCGGUGAAAUGCGCAGAUAUCAGGAGGAACACCGGUGGCGAAGGCGGGUCUCUGGGCCGAUACUGACGCUGAGGAGCGAAAGCGUGGGGAGCGAACAGG
RNAcentral lists this ribosomal RNA (254 nucleotides) under uncultured bacterium. RNAcentral describes it as "partial 16S ribosomal RNA". It matches the Rfam family "Bacterial small subunit ribosomal RNA", at positions 524 to 776 of the family's 1533-position model. The record is from RNAcentral.